RNAcentral lists this ribosomal RNA (232 nucleotides) under uncultured Enterobacterales bacterium. RNAcentral describes it as "partial 16S ribosomal RNA". It matches the Rfam family "Bacterial small subunit ribosomal RNA", at positions 99 to 334 of the family's 1533-position model. Lineage: Bacteria; Pseudomonadati; Pseudomonadota; Gammaproteobacteria; Enterobacterales. The record is from RNAcentral.
CGGACGGGUGAGUAAUGUCUGGGAAACUGCCUGAUGGAGGGGGAUAACUACUGGAAACGGUAGCUAAUACCGCAUAACGUCGCAAGACCAAAGAGGGGGACCUUCGGGCCUCUUGCCAUCAGAUGUGCCCAGAUGGGAUUAGCUUGUUGGUGGGGUAACGGCUCACCAAGGCGACGAUCCCUAGCUGGUCUGAGAGGACGACCAGCCACACUGGAACUGAGACACGGUCCAG